This 260-nucleotide ribosomal RNA is filed under the name uncultured bacterium. Its description in RNAcentral is "partial 16S ribosomal RNA". It matches the Rfam family "Bacterial small subunit ribosomal RNA", at positions 1240 to 1500 of the family's 1533-position model. The record is from RNAcentral.
CAGAGGGAAGCAAGACCGCGAGGUGGAGCAAAUCCCUAAAAGCCAUCCCAGUUCGGAUUGCAGGCUGCAACCCGCCUGUAUGAAGUUGGAAUCGCUAGUAAUCGCGGAUCAGCAUGCCGCGGUGAAUACGUUCCCGGGCCUUGUACACACCGCCCGUCACACCAUGAGAGUCGGGAACACCCGAAGUCCGUAGCCUAACCGCAAGGGGGGCGCGGCCGAGGGUGGGUUCGAUAAUUGGGGUGAAGUCGUAACAAGGUACC